RNAcentral lists this unclassified non-coding RNA (377 nucleotides) under uncultured bacterium. RNAcentral's name for it is "contains 16S-23S intergenic spacer region". The record is from RNAcentral.
UCCGAUUUGUCACCGGCGGUCUCCCAUGAGUCCCCGACAUUACUCGCUGGCAACAUGGGACAAGGGUUGCGCUCGUUGCGGGACUUAACCCAACAUCUCACGACACGAGCUGACGACAGCCAUGCACCACCUGUCACCCGGCCACAAGGGGGGCACCAUCUCUGAUGCUUUCCGGGCGAUGUCAAGCCUUGGUAAGGUUCUUCGCGUUGCGUCGAAUUAAGCCACAUGCUCCGCUGCUUGUGCGGGCCCCCGUCAAUUCCUUUGGGUUUCAGCCUUGCGACCGUACUCCCCGGGCGGGAUACUUAAUGCGUUAGCUUCGCCACGAAGGGAUUCAAUCCCCCUCACAGCAAGUAUCCAUCGUUUAGGGCUAGGACUAC